ACGUCAUUGCCCAGUUUAACCGCGGUCUCUACGAUUACAUCGUGGCCACCGACGAGGAGGGGACAGCGGAGCCACCCCGGCAGCGCCCGCACAGGGAGGGGACAGCCAGGAAGGGUGGCAGUGGCAGGGGACAGUCCCCAGGGUGUCCCCAGGACCCCGAGUUCAGCGCCUCCCGCGGCAUCGACUUCCAGAACGUCGCCGCCGUCGUCAACUUCGAUGUCCCCGGCUCGGUGGAGUGCUACAUCCACCGCGUGGGCAGGACAGCCCGUGGGGACAAGCCGGGCACGGCGCUGACGCUGGCACUGCCACACGAGCUGGAGAGGCUGCGGCACAUCGAGGACGCGCUGACCGGAGG
Non-coding RNA from Pseudopodoces humilis (Tibetan ground-tit), 355 nucleotides. Lineage: Eukaryota; Metazoa; Chordata; Aves; Passeriformes; Paridae. The record is from RefSeq and is a predicted model, not a curated record.